GAUUUGUCGAUGAUGAGGAGCAGUAGGCAGGUGGCGUUUCCAAGAGAGCCGGCGGUUGGUGAAAGUCGGUAACGGACCCUGAACGAACUCGCCUCGGAGAUAUGCGGGCAGACGACGGUACAUUCGUUUUCGAACCAAGACGUCCAGACGCAUCGGGUUAUCCCCGUUAUCGGAUAUUUGAGUGAGCGGCUUGUCCGCUAAUCAGGGUGGUACCACGGGAAGCAAUGCCUCUCGUCCCUGGC
RNAcentral lists this non-coding RNA (242 nucleotides) under Saccharibacillus sacchari. RNAcentral's name for it is "T-box sequence". It matches the Rfam family "T-box leader". Rfam says of the family: Uncharged tRNA acts as the effector for transcription antitermination of genes in the T-box leader family. T-boxes are found upstream of many aminoacyl-tRNA synthetase genes and some amino acid biosynthetic genes usually in Gram-positive bacteria. The anticodon of a specific tRNA base pairs to a specifier sequence within the T-box motif, and the NCCA acceptor tail of the tRNA base pairs to a conserved bulge in the T-box antiterminator hairpin. The record is from RNAcentral. Lineage: Bacteria; Bacillati; Bacillota; Bacilli; Caryophanales; Paenibacillaceae.